GACAGAGGGUGCAAACGUUGCUCGGAAUCACUGGGCGUAAAGGGCGUGUAGGCGGGAAGGAAAGUCAGAUGUGAAGUCCCUGGGCUCAACCCAGGAACUGCAUUUGAAACUCCCUUUCUUGAGUACCGGAGAGGAAGGUGGAAUUCCUGGUGUAGAGGUGAAAUUCGUAGAUAUCAGGAGGAACACCAGUGGCGAAGGCGACUACCUGGCCUGUUCUUGACGCUGUGGCGCGAAAGCUAGGGGAGCAAACGGG
This 253-nucleotide ribosomal RNA is filed under the name uncultured bacterium. RNAcentral's name for it is "partial 16S ribosomal RNA". It matches the Rfam family "Bacterial small subunit ribosomal RNA", at positions 524 to 776 of the family's 1533-position model. The record is from RNAcentral.